GCUUGAGAUGUGUGGUGGACUCUUUGCUUCCCAAGCAAAGGGUCGCGAGUUCGAUCCUCGUCUCCCGCUCCA
RNAcentral lists this transfer RNA (72 nucleotides) under Dehalococcoidia bacterium. Its description in RNAcentral is "tRNA-Gly". The record is from RNAcentral. Lineage: Bacteria; Bacillati; Chloroflexota; Dehalococcoidia.